GACGAACGCUGGCGGCGUGCCUAAUACAUGCAAGUAGAACGCUGAAGGAGGAGCUUGCUUCUUCGGAUGAGUUGCGAACGGGUGAGUAACGCGUAGGUAACCUGCCUGGUAGCGGGGGAUAACUAUUGGAAACGAUAGCUAAUACCGCAUAACAGUAGAUGUUGCAUGACAUUUGCUUAAAAGGUGCAAUUGCAUCACUACCAGAUGGACCUGCGUUGUAUUAGCUAGUUGGUGGGGUAACGGCUCACCAAGGCGACGAUACAUAGCCGACCUGAGAGGGUGAUCGGCCACACUGGGACUGAGACACGGCCCAGACUCCUACGGGAGGCAGCAGUAGGGAAUCUUCGGCAAUGGACGGAAGUCUGACCGAGCAACGCCGCGUGAGUGAAGAAGGUUUUCGGAUCGUAAAGCUCUGUUGUAAGAGAAGAACGAGUGUGAGAGUGGAAAGUUCACACUGUGACGGUAUCUUACCAGAAAGGGACGGCUAACUACGUGCCAGCAGCCGCGGUAAUACGUAGGUCUCGAGCGUUGUCCGGAUUUAUUGGGCGUAAAGCGAGCGCAGGCGGUUAGAUAAGUCUGAAGUUAAAGGCUGUGGCUUAACCAUAGUACGCUUUGGAAACUGUUUAACUUGAGUGCAAGAGGGGAGAGUGGAAUUCCAUGUGUAGCGGUGAAAUGCGUAGAUAUAUGGAGGAACACCGGUGGCGAAAGCGGCUCUCUGGCUUGUAACUGACGCUGAGGCUCGAAAGCGUGGGGAGCAAACAGG
Molecule: ribosomal RNA, 763 nt
Filed under: uncultured Streptococcus sp.
Lineage: Bacteria; Bacillati; Bacillota; Bacilli; Lactobacillales; Streptococcaceae
Description: bacterial SSU rRNA
Rfam family: Bacterial small subunit ribosomal RNA
Source: RNAcentral